CUUGCAGAGAGGAAACUGCCGGCACAGAAAUUGGCUCCGGCUUUGCCUUGGUAGCAGCUUUACGGUAGCUUUGGCCAUGAAUUUCUGUCUGCAAGUAUCUCUUCCGUGGCUCAACUGAGGAGUCUCCAAAUCUAGGACUUUGACGCGAGACGAGCAUCUCGAUGUCGGAUUGGACCA
Zingiber officinale is the source of this 177-nucleotide long non-coding RNA. RefSeq lists it as uncharacterized. The record is from RefSeq and is a predicted model, not a curated record. The transcript is spliced from 3 exons. Lineage: Eukaryota; Viridiplantae; Streptophyta; Magnoliopsida; Zingiberales; Zingiberaceae.